UGCCAGCCGCCGCGGUAAUACGGAGGGGGCAAGCGUUGUUCGGAAUUAUUGGGCGUAAAGGGCACGCAGGCGGCUAGGCAAGUUGGUGGUGAAAGCCCUCGGCUCAACCGAGGAAUUGCCCCCAAAACUGCCUGGCUUGAGUCCCGGAGAGGGUGACGGAAUUCCCAGUGUAGCGGUGAAAUGCGUAGAUACUGGGAGGAACACCAGUGGCGAAGGCGGUCACCUGGACGGGUACUGACGCUCAUGUGCGAAAGCGUGGGGAGCAAACAGGAUUAGAUA
Molecule: ribosomal RNA, 279 nt
Filed under: uncultured bacterium
Lineage: Bacteria
Description: partial 16S ribosomal RNA
Rfam family: Bacterial small subunit ribosomal RNA
Source: RNAcentral